GCACCCGUAGCUCAACUGGAUAGAGUACCUGACUACGAAUCAGGCGGUUGGAGGUUCGAAUCCCCCCGGGUGUA
Molecule: transfer RNA, 74 nt
Filed under: Gracilimonas sp.
Lineage: Bacteria; Pseudomonadati; Balneolota; Balneolia; Balneolales; Balneolaceae
Description: tRNA-Arg
Rfam family: tRNA
About the family: Transfer RNA (tRNA) molecules are approximately 80 nucleotides in length.
Source: RNAcentral